AAACGGUAAAUUCCUGACUGCAGCGUGAGCCCUGGGACGCAGUCGAAGCAGAGCAAAGUCUCCCCCGCCAGCCCAGGGCGAGAGUCAGGGACGCGGCGUCGGGCGAGCUGCGCGGGCCCCGGGGGAGGCGCGACCCCGGAGGCACCUGUCCGGAUCCCUCCCCGCCUUGCUCAGAUCUCUGGUUCGCGGAGCUCCGAGGCGCGCUCGGCCCGAACCGCGCGACCCCCAAGUCGCCGCGCCCAGGACCCCAGCGCGCCCCCUGCCGCCGGUGCAGGGUGGCGCUCGAUGGCACCGGCCCUCACCUGCCCAGGGACGGCUGGGACCGGCCCCGCGGCCGCUCGCCACCCCUCUGUCCCCAACGAUACCUGCGCCCCCGAUAGCCCGCACCUGAGUAUGGGGCCUGACCGGGCCGGGUCGGGGUCGGGCCGGGGUGGGAGCCGGCGCGGACAGCGAACUGAGCUCGGCGUGGUCGGGCGGCGGCUGCUCCGGACUCUGGCCAAGGCAGCAACUCAGUAACCGAACAAAAGGCGAAGAGACCUGACAGCCAAGCCACGCCCCUCGCCACCUCGAAGCUCCGCCCCUGGGGGAGACGCCCACCCUCUGGUGCGAGCUCACUGGCUAUCUCGCCUGACUGUCCCGUGGAGGGGCGGAGCCUCGCCUCCAGUCCUCUUCCACGGCCGCCUCUGUUUAUCCGCUUGCCAUUGGCCCCGGGGACUGCCAGUCGGCUCUAGGGAUGGACUCUAACUUGAGGUCUCAUCCUAACAUUGCAUCUAUUGGCAGAUAGAAAGUUACUUCCUCCUGAUUGGACAAGGCUCUGUCAGUAAGACUAAGGAAAAAACCAAUGGAAGGGAUGGGGUGUGUCUUGCCCCACCCUUGCUCUGAGCAGCUCUGAAAAAUAGUUAGGAUGAGAAAACGACCCUCAUUGUAAAGAUGAAGAAACCGAAGUUCAGAGAAGUCACAAAACUACAAAGUGGCACACCCCAAGCUAGAACCUCCUUCCUCUCAUUUGAAGGACCAUCAAACCAGCUGUUCCCCUCAUGGAAGAGGAGCAUAGACAUAAAAUGUCAAGGCAAUGGGGAAGGGGCAGAGAAAAGGCACAAACACUUGGAGGAGAGACAGAACAAUUAAUUGGCACAAAAAUACAGUAUUGGUGUCAGGAGGCUUUGGUGGGCUUGGAAACAUCAAGCAGCAGAUCUGAAGGAAAUCCAGCCCUGGCAUGAAAGAAACGGGGCAGGCCAGGCGCAGUGGCUCACUCCUGUAAUCUCAGCAUUUUGGGAGGCAAAGGCGGGUGGAUCACCUGAGGUCGGGAGUUCAACACCAGCCUGGCCAAUAUGGUGAAGCCCCAUCUCUACAAAAAAUACAAAAAGUUAGCCGAGCGUGGUGGCGGGCAACUAUAAUCCCAGCUGCCUGGGAGACUGAGGCAGGAGAAUUGCUUGAACCUGGGAGGCGGAGGUUGCAGUGAGCCGAGACCAUGUCACUGCACUCCAGCCUGGGCAUGACAGAGCGAGACUCCAUCUCAAACAAAAAAAAAAAAAAGAAAAGAAAAAAAUAAACCGGGCAGCACACCCCUCUGCGAUAGGAGAGCCUGGGGUAGAGAUCAGAGAGAACUUCUCGGCCAGGCGUGGUGGCUCAUGCCUGUAAUCCCAGCAAUUUGGGAGGCCAAGGUGGGCAGAUCACUUGAGGUCAGGAGUUCGAGACCAGCCUGGCCGACAUGGUGAAACCCCAUCUCUACUGAAAAUACAGAAAUUAGCCAGGCAUGGCAGCGGGCACCUGUAAUGCCAGCUACUCGGGAGGCUGAGGCAGGAGAAUGGCGUGAACCCGGGAGGCAGAGGUUGCAGUGAGCUGAGAUCAUGCCAUUGCACUCCAGCCUGGGUGACAGAGUGAGACUCUGUCUCAAAAAAAUAAAAAGGACUUCUCACAGGCAGCUUAAGAAGACAAGGGCACUUCCUUUCUGUGGUUGAUGACAUGAAUGCUGCUCGUGGCUGUAUGGUGUGCCAAGGGCCCUACAAACAUUCCUUCAUUCAACACUUGAGUAUUCAUUGUCAACUGUAUGUUAGGCACUGGUGAACACA
RNAcentral lists this long non-coding RNA (2072 nucleotides) under Homo sapiens (human). RNAcentral's name for it is "HSALNT0389798". Lineage: Eukaryota; Metazoa; Chordata; Mammalia; Primates; Hominidae. The record is from RNAcentral.